UAUAACAAUAAGUCUUGAAAACCCAAGACUUAAAAAACUUUGUCAAGCAGCUUGAAAAACUUGGAGCAAAAUGAAUAAAGUUCUUGUGAUCUGCUUUAUACUCACUGCAGUGGUCGUCGUAAUAGAAAGCAGCCCAUUCUUAAAACAAAUAAAAUCCCAAGGCGAUUCUGAUCUGAAACACACACAACAUGAUGACUCUAAUGAUGGCGGCUUAGAUGGUGGUUCUAAAAGCUCACAACAUGAUGACUCUAAUGAUGGCGGCUCAGAUGGUGGUUCUGUAAG
Molecule: long non-coding RNA, 282 nt
Organism: Bombyx mori (domestic silkworm)
Lineage: Eukaryota; Metazoa; Arthropoda; Insecta; Lepidoptera; Bombycidae
Exons: 5
Source: RefSeq, a predicted model, not a curated record